AGUGAACGCUGGCGGUAGGCCUAACACAUGCAAGUCGAACGGCAGCACAGUAAGAGCUUGCUCUUACGGGUGGCGAGUGGCGGACGGGUGAGGAAUACAUCGGAAUCUACUUUUUCGUGGGGGAUAACGUAGGGAAACUUACGCUAAUACCGCAUACGACCUACGGGUGAAAGCAGGGGAUCUUCGGACCUUGCGCGAUUGAAUGAGCCGAUGUCGGAUUAGCUAGUUGGCGGGGUAUAGGCCCACCAAGGCGACGAUCCGUAGCUGGUCUGAGAGGAUGAUCAGCCACACUGGAACUGAGACACGGUCCAGACUCCUACGGGAGGCAGCAGUGGGGAAUAUUGGACAAUGGGCGCAAGCCUGAUCCAGCCAUACCGCGUGGGUGAAGAAGGCCUUCGGGUUGUAAAGCCCUUUUGUUGGGAAGGAAAAGCAGCAGGUUAAUACCCCGCUGUUCUGACGGUACCCAAAGAAUAAGCACCGGCUAACUUCGUG
Molecule: ribosomal RNA, 492 nt
Filed under: uncultured bacterium
Lineage: Bacteria
Description: partial 16S ribosomal RNA
Rfam family: Bacterial small subunit ribosomal RNA
Source: RNAcentral